UAGCAAAGAGCAUGGAAAAUGCAUCUGAUUUCGGCUCAGGGGAUACGAUUUUCGUUUUGUUUUCC
This 65-nucleotide transfer RNA is filed under the name Pinctada maxima (silver-lipped pearl oyster). RNAcentral's name for it is "tRNA-Arg". The record is from RNAcentral. Lineage: Eukaryota; Metazoa; Mollusca; Bivalvia; Pterioida; Pteriidae.